Molecule: ribosomal RNA, 851 nt
Filed under: uncultured Methanococcoides sp.
Lineage: Archaea; Methanobacteriati; Methanobacteriota; Methanomicrobia; Methanosarcinales; Methanosarcinaceae
Description: bacterial SSU rRNA
Rfam family: Archaeal small subunit ribosomal RNA
Source: RNAcentral
UGUUCUUCGUGAACAUGGCGGACUGCUCAGUAACACGUGGAUAACCUGCCCUUAGGUUCGGCAUAACUCCGGGAAACUGGAGAUAAUUCCGAAUAGGUCAAAUAUGCUGGAAUGCUUUUUGGCCAAAAGACCUCGGUUGCCUAAGGAUGGAUCUGCGGUCUAUCAGGUUGUAGUGGGUGUAACGUACCUACUAGCCUACGACGGAUAUGGGUUGUGAGAGCAAGAGCCCAGAGAUGGAUUCUGAGACAUGAAUCCAGGCCCUACGGGGCGCAGCAGGCGCGAAAACUUUACAAUGCGGGAAACCGCGAUAAGGGGGACACCGAGUGCCAGCAUUUAUGUUGGCUGUCCACAUGUGUAAACGGCAUGUGUUAGCAAGGGCCGGGCAAGACCGGUGCCAGCCGCCGCGGUAACACCGGCGGCCCGAGUGGUAAUCACUUUUAUUGGGUCUAAAGGGUCCGUAGCCGGUUUGAUCAGUUCUUCGGGAAAUCUGACAGCUCAACUGUUAGGCUUCUGGGGAAUACUGUCAGACUUGGGACCGGGAGAGGUAAGAGGUACUACAGGGGUAGGAGUGAAAUCUUGUAAUCCCUGUGGGACCACCAGUGGCGAAGGCGUCUUACCAGAACGGGUCCGACGGUGAGGGACGAAAGCUGGGGGCACGAACCGGAUUAGAUACCCGGGUAGUCCCAGCCGUAAACGAUGUUCGCUAGGUGUCAGGGGCGGUGCGACCGCUUCUGGUGCCGUAGGGAAGCCGUGAAGCGAACCACCUGGGAAGUACGGCCGCAAGGCUGAAACUUAAAGGAAUUGGCGGGGGAGCACUACAACGGGUGGAGCCUGCGGUUUAAUUGGAUUCC